This 496-nucleotide ribosomal RNA is filed under the name uncultured bacterium. Its description in RNAcentral is "partial 16S ribosomal RNA". It matches the Rfam family "Bacterial small subunit ribosomal RNA", at positions 29 to 507 of the family's 1533-position model. The record is from RNAcentral.
AUGAACGCUGGCGGCGUGCCUAAUACAUGCAAGUCGAGCGAACAGAUGAGGAGCUUGCUCCUCUGACGUUAGCGGCGGACGGGUGAGUAACACGUGGAUAACCUACCUAUAAGACUGGGAUAACUUCGGGAAACCGGAGCUAAUACCGGAUAAUAUAUUGAACCGCAUGGUUCAAUAGUGAAAGACGGUUUUGCUGUCACUUAUAGAUGGAUCCGCGCCGCAUUAGCUAGUUGGUAAGGUAACGGCUUACCAAGGCGACGAUGCGUAGCCGACCUGAGAGGGUGAUCGGCCACACUGGAACUGAGACACGGUCCAGACUCCUACGGGAGGCAGCAGUAGGGAAUCUUCCGCAAUGGGCGAAAGCUUGACGGAGCAACGCCGCGUGAGUGUUGAAGGUCUUCGGAUCGUAAAACUCUGUUAUUAGGGAAGAACAAAUGUGUAAGUAACUAUGCACGUCUUGACGGUACCUAAUCAGAAAGCCACGGCUAACUACGUG